RNAcentral lists this long non-coding RNA (317 nucleotides) under Musa acuminata (dwarf banana). RNAcentral describes it as "long non-coding RNA (MACU_LNC010901)". The record is from RNAcentral. Lineage: Eukaryota; Viridiplantae; Streptophyta; Magnoliopsida; Zingiberales; Musaceae.
AGAACCCUUGCAGAUUCUAAACUUGGGGUUGAUCUCUUUAGGGGAUCGGCCUUCUUGGAACUCUAUAGGGGUUCCUCCCUCCAAGUUGCUGCUCAAAGGCUGUAGAAAAGAUUCAUCUAUUGCUUAUCAAAAGAUGAUGAAUAUAUGACUAUUUAUAGGGUUUCUAAACCCUAAUGCCUAAUAGGACUUCUACUCAAUUAAGACUCCUACUCAAGACUCCUAAUACGACUCCUACUCAAGACUCCUAUUCCUUUAUAACUCCUAAUUCUUCUUUAAGAAAUAACCUCCAAACCCUAGCCGGCCUCUUCACCUCUUUA